This 449-nucleotide ribosomal RNA is filed under the name uncultured bacterium. RNAcentral describes it as "partial 16S ribosomal RNA". It matches the Rfam family "Bacterial small subunit ribosomal RNA", at positions 29 to 523 of the family's 1533-position model. The record is from RNAcentral.
AGCGAACGCUGGCGGCAGGCUUAACACAUGCAAGUCGAGCGCCGUAGCAAUACGGAGCGGCAGACGGGUGAGUAACACGUGGGAACGUGCCUUCUGGGUCGGAAUAACUCAGGGGAACUUGAGCUAAUACCGGAUAAGCCCUUCGGGGGAAAGAUUUAUCGCCGGAAGAUCGGCCCGCGUAAGAUUAGCUAGUUGGUGAGGUAAUGGCUCACCAAGGCUACGAUCUUUAGCUGGUCUGAGAGGAUGAUCAGCCACACUGGGACUGAGACACGGCCCAGACUCCUACGGGAGGCAGCAGUGGGGAAUAUUGGACAAUGGGCGCAAGCCUGAUCCAGCCAUGCCGCGUGAGUGAUGAAGGCCUUAGGGUUGUAAAGCUCUUUUAGCAGGGACGAUAAUGACGGUACCUGCAGAAAAAGCCCCGGCCAACUUCGUGCCAGCAGCCGCCGUAA